AAACCAGAUAUGACUUAGUGGCGGACGGGUGAGUAACACGUGAGCAACCUGCCUUUCAGAGGGGGAUAACGGCUGGAAACGGUCGCUAAUACCGCAUGACACAUUGGGGUCGCAUGGCCUUGAUGUCAAAGAUUUAUCGCUGAAAGAUGGCCUCGCGUCUGAUUAGCUAGAUGGUGAGGUAACGGCCCACCAUGGCGACGAUCGGUAGCCGGACUGAGAGGUUGAACGGCCACAUUGGGACUGAGACACGGCCCAGACUCC
Molecule: ribosomal RNA, 261 nt
Filed under: uncultured Oscillospiraceae bacterium
Lineage: Bacteria; Bacillati; Bacillota; Clostridia; Eubacteriales; Oscillospiraceae
Description: partial 16S ribosomal RNA
Rfam family: Bacterial small subunit ribosomal RNA
Source: RNAcentral